This 506-nucleotide ribosomal RNA is filed under the name uncultured bacterium. RNAcentral describes it as "partial 16S ribosomal RNA". It matches the Rfam family "Bacterial small subunit ribosomal RNA", at positions 30 to 523 of the family's 1533-position model. The record is from RNAcentral.
AUUGAACGCUGGCGGCAGGCCUAACACAUGCAAGUCGAACGGUAACAGGAAACAGCUUGCUGUUUCGCUGACGAGUGGCGGACGGGUGAGUAAUGUCUGGGAAACUGCCUGAUGGAGGGGGAUAACUACUGGAAACGGUAGCUAAUACCGCAUAACGUCGCAAGACCAAAGAGGGGGACCUUCGGGCCUCUUGCCAUCGGAUGUGCCCAGAUGGGAUUAGCUAGUAGGUGGGGUAACGGCUCACCUAGGCGACGAUCCCUAGCUGGUCUGAGAGGAUGACCAGCCACACUGGAACUGAGACACGGUCCAGACUCCUACGGGAGGCAGCAGUGGGGAAGAUUGCACAAUGGGCGCAAGCCUGAUGCAGCCAUGCCGCGUGUAUGAAGAAGGCAUUCGGGUUGUAAAGUACUUUCAGCGGGGAGGAAGGGAGUAAAGUUAAUACCUUUGCUCAUUGACGUUACCCGCAGAAGAAGCACCGGCUAACUCCGUGCCAGCCGCCGCCGUAA